AUUGAACGCUGGCGGCAUGCCUUACACAUGCAAGUCGAACGGUAACAGGUCUUCGGAUGCUGACGAGUGGCGAACGGGUGAGUAAUACAUCGGAACGUGCCUAGUAGUGGGGGAUAACUACUCGAAAGAGUGGCUAAUACCGCAUGAGAUCUAGGGAUGAAAGCAGGGGAUCGCAAGACCUUGUGCUACUAGAGCGGCCGAUGGCAGAUUCGGUAGUUGGUGGGAUAAAAGCUUACCAAGCCGACGAUCUGUAGCUGGUCUGAGAGGACGAUCAGGCACACUGGGACUGAGACACGGCCCAGACUCCUACGGGAGGCAGCAGUGGGGAAUUGUGGACAAUGGGCGCAAGGCUGAUCCAGCAAUGCCGCGUGCAGGAUGAAGGCCUUCGGGUUGGAAACUGCUUUUGUACGGAACGAAAAGCCCCGGGUUAAUACCCUGGGGUCAUGACGGUACCGUAAGAAUAAGCACCGGCUAACUACGUGCCAGCAGCCGCAGUAA
RNAcentral lists this ribosomal RNA (498 nucleotides) under uncultured bacterium. RNAcentral's name for it is "partial 16S ribosomal RNA". It matches the Rfam family "Bacterial small subunit ribosomal RNA", at positions 30 to 523 of the family's 1533-position model. The record is from RNAcentral.